GAUGAAGAACGCAGCGAAAUGCGAUAAGUAGUGUGAAUUGCAGAAUUCAGUGAAUCAUCGAAUCUUUGAACGCACAUUGCGCCCCUUGGUAUUACAUGGGGCAUGCCUGUUCGAGCGUCAUUUGUACCUUCAAGCUCUGCUUGGUGUUGGGUGUUUGUCCUUGCUCUAGUGGCGGGACUCGCCUUAAAGUAAUUGGCAGCCAGUGUUUUGGUUUUGAAGCGCAGCACAAGUCGCGAUUCAAGUCUAUACGCUAGUUUCCACAAGUCUUUUAUCACUUUUGACCUCGGAUCAGGUAGGGAUACCCGCUGAACUUAAGCAUAUCAAUAAGCGGAGGA
RNAcentral lists this unclassified non-coding RNA (335 nucleotides) under soil metagenome. Its description in RNAcentral is "partial contains 5.8S ribosomal RNA, internal transcribed spacer 2, and large subunit ribosomal RNA". The stretch from base 1 to 120 matches the Rfam family "5.8S ribosomal RNA", at positions 35 to 154 of the family's 154-position model. The record is from RNAcentral.